This 253-nucleotide ribosomal RNA is filed under the name uncultured bacterium. RNAcentral's name for it is "partial 16S ribosomal RNA". It matches the Rfam family "Bacterial small subunit ribosomal RNA", at positions 524 to 776 of the family's 1533-position model. The record is from RNAcentral.
UACAGAGGGGGCAAGCGUUGUUCGGAAUUACUGGGCGUAAAGGGCGCGUAGGCGGCCUGCUAAGUCGAACGUGAAAUCCCUGGGCUCAACCCAGGAACUGCGACCGAUACUGGUUGGCUUGAAUCCGGGAGAGGGAUGUGGAAUUCCAGGUGUAGCGGUGAAAUGCGUAGAUAUCUGGAGGAACACCGGUGGCGAAGGCGACAUCCUGGACCGGCAUUGACGCUGAGGCGCGAAAGCCAGGGGAGCAAACGGG